This 840-nucleotide ribosomal RNA is filed under the name Syrnolopsis minuta. RNAcentral describes it as "partial 16S ribosomal RNA". The stretch from base 307 to 558 matches the Rfam family "Archaeal large subunit ribosomal RNA", at positions 1787 to 2143 of the family's 2987-position model. The record is from RNAcentral. Lineage: Eukaryota; Metazoa; Mollusca; Gastropoda; Thiaridae.
CAAUUAAAUUUUAAAUAGCUAUUACUAGCCUUUAAUUAAAAUUUGCUAGGUAUACUUCUAAGGAUAAGCUUAGAAGUUAAACUAUGUUUAACAUAAUUAAAAUAAGUUGUAUAAGCUUAAAAUUAGCUAUUACAAAAGUUUGUUAUAAAAUAACUAUAAAACCAACAAAAAUUUAUAUGUUUAAUACUAAGUAUUAAUGAAGAUAAAAUUAAUAAUUAAUAAUAAUUUUUACCUAUGCUAAAAUGAGUAUUAUAUUUUUUUAAAAAAUGAAAUAAAUAAUGUUUUUCAUUAAAUAAAUAAUUUAUCAUAUAUUAAUUGAAUAAAAGGAACUCGGCAAAACAUCGCUCCGCCUGUUUAUCAAAAACAUGGCUCCUUGAGUUAUUAACAUAAGGAGUCAAACCUGCCCAGUGAAUUUAUUAAACGGCCGCGGUACUCUGACCGUGCAAAGGUAGCAUAAUCAUUUGCCUUAUAAUUAAAGGCUAGUAUGAACGGUUUGACGUGAGCAAAUCUGUCUCUUUUUCAUUUUCUAAAAAUUAACCUUUAGGUGAAGAGGCCUAAAUUUUAUUAAAGGACAAGAAGACCCUGUUGAGCUUAAAAGACAAUAAUAGAAGUUGAUAUCAUAGAAAUAAAUUAAAUCUAUUUAGCUUUUUAGUUGGGGCGACUAAGGAACAAAUAAAGCUUCUUUUUAUAUAAUAAGCUAAAUAGCAUUGAUCCAGUAUAACUGAUCAAAAGAAUUAGUUACCACAGGGAUAACAGCAUAAUCUCUCUUGAGAGAUCAAAUCGAAAGAGGGGGUUGUGACCUCGAUGUUGGACUAGAAUAUCCGAAAGAUGCAGACGUCU